RNAcentral lists this unclassified non-coding RNA (235 nucleotides) under Hevea brasiliensis (rubber tree). Lineage: Eukaryota; Viridiplantae; Streptophyta; Magnoliopsida; Malpighiales; Euphorbiaceae. The record is from RNAcentral.
GUGGUAUAUUGGAGGUAGCAAAAAGGUAAUAACAGUGGUUGUGUGGUGAUAAUUGUGGUGGUUGUCGAGUAGGUGCUGGUGGUUUAAGUGGUGGAGAAAGAGUAAGGGUAGUGUGUGUAUAUAUUUGGUACGAUUGCUCUAAUUGGGAUUUGAACUCAAGAUCUUACAAUCUUGAAAAACUUCUGUUCAAAUUUACUGAUAAAAUGAAUAUUGCAUUAAUUAAAAUAGGGUAUUA